AGAGUUUGAUCCUGGCUCAGGACGAACGCUUGCGACGUGCCUAAGAAAUGCAAGUCGAACGAGGCAGCAAUGCCGAGUGGCGAACGGUCGCGUAACACGUGGGCAACCUGCCCUAGAGUGGGGGACAACAGCCCGAAAGGGCUGCUAAUACCGCAUGUGGAUAUUUUGUGGCAUCACCGAGAUAUCCAAAGCAGCAAUGCGCUCUAGGAUGGGCCCGCGGCCUAUCAGCUUGCUGGUGAGGUAACGGCCCACCAAGGCUUCGACGGGUAGCUGGUCUGAGAGGACGAUCAGCCGGAUUGGGACUGAGAUACGGCCCAGACUCCUACGGGGGGCAGCAAUUAGGAAUCUUGCGCAAUGGGGGAAACCCUGACGCAGCGACGUCGCGUGGAGGAUGAAAUCUUUCGGGGUGUAAACUCCUUUUGUCUGGGAAGAAACAAAUGACGGUACCAGACGAAUAAGCCCCGGCUAACUACGUGCCAGCAGCCGCGGUAAUACGUAGGGGGCCAGCGUUGUCCGAAGUUACUGGGCGUAAAGAGCGCGUAGGCGGGUCUUUAAGUGAGUGGUGAAAGGUUCGGGCUCAACCCGGACACUGCCUUUCAUACUGGAGAUCUUGAGUGUAGGAGAGGCGAGUGGAAUGGUCGGUGUAGCGGUGGAAUGCGUAGAUAUCGAUCGGAACACCCAUGGCGAAGGCAGCUCGCUGGCCUAUAACUGACGCUGAGGCGCGAAAGCGUGGGGAGCAAACAGGAUUAGAUACCCUGGUAGUCC
RNAcentral lists this ribosomal RNA (765 nucleotides) under uncultured bacterium. RNAcentral describes it as "bacterial SSU rRNA". It matches the Rfam family "Bacterial small subunit ribosomal RNA", at positions 8 to 796 of the family's 1533-position model. The record is from RNAcentral.